RNAcentral lists this ribosomal RNA (2394 nucleotides) under Triticum aestivum (bread wheat). RNAcentral's name for it is "partial small subunit ribosomal RNA". Lineage: Eukaryota; Viridiplantae; Streptophyta; Magnoliopsida; Poales; Poaceae. The record is from RNAcentral.
AUGAGGGCAAUGGACAAAUUUGUGCGAAUUUACAGCGGCGGGGAGCUGGUGAAGGGUCCGAAUGGGGUGGAAUUCGGGGACCUCUCCGAGCAGGGUAUAUGGUUCAAGGCAGCACCCACAUACAGUGAGCUAAUUGAUGCUGUGUACAAGAAGCUCGGGCUGGAACCUACAAUGCACGACCUUCGUGCACAGGGGAGGACGAAUGUUGGCGGUGGCGCUCAUCGGCACUUCAUCAUGGUGCCUAUCGACGACGAUAUGUCCUGGAGUAACUAUGUCAAAGCAGUUUUCAAUGGCACCGACUGGAAUUGCCUGGAGGUUUAUGUUCAGGCAGAGGAGCGUCCAUCUGCAGAGUCGGUUUCCCCAGAGCCUGCAUUGCUGGACAGUGAACCACCGGAUGCGCAGUGCCAGAAUUCCCCACCACCAGAUCCAGAACAGGGCGCUCCUCUUUUUACUCCUUUGAUGGUGACAGUCAAUGCACCUACCGUUCAUCCACGACUACGAAAAACAAGGAGCACCAGGGCCCGUGCUGGCAUUGGUGGGCGGUUUGCAGGUGAAGAGGUUCAGCCUGGUCAGUACCAGUGUGGAGCUUCAGGGACAGUUGAUACAACUAGCUAUCUUUUAAUUGGGCUGUAUGACGAGGUUCAUCGUGCUCGUGCUUUAGCAGCAGGCCAGCAUCUAAGUGAGCUCAAUCCUCGUAACCGUGAGCCUCUUCGGUUUGACAAGCGGUACGAACGUUACCUUAGGCCAGCUGGGUUGAUGGGGUUGGCGAACAUUUGCAGGGCUGGACUGCCCUCCAUUGAUCGUGCACUCGUCUCUGCACUAGUUGAUAGGUGGAGACCUGAGACACACACUUUUCACAUGCCUUGUGGUGAGAUUACAAUCACACUACAGGAUGUUGCGAUGAUUCUUGGGCUACCUAUCUCUGGACAUGCUGUCAUUGUAAACAAAACAGAGUCCUACAUUGAAUUGUACCAGCGUUACCUUGGGAAGACACCUCCUUCUGAUAAGUCCCGUCCUGGGUUGAGGGUUGCAUGGGUCAGAGCCGAGUUUAAUAAGUGCCCUGAAGACGCCGACGAGGAGACCGUAAAGCAGCAUGCAAGGGCAUACAUCCUUAGCCUGGUUGGUGGUCUAUUGUUUCCUGAUGCCUCUGGUGAUAGGUACACCGUAUAUCCCUUUCCGCUGAUAGCUGAUCUUGAGAACAUUGGUUCAUACAGUUGGGGUUCUGCUACUCUGGCAUAUCUCUACAGGGCAAUGUGUGAUGCUUGCAGGAGGCAAUCAGAUCAAAGUAAUCUGACUGGUUGCCUUCUGCUCCUUCAGUUCUGGUCAUGGGAGCGCUUCCCAAUCGGCAGGCCAGAUAUGCUAAAGCCGAAAUUCCCAAACGUCGAUGAGCUAGAGGAUGACAGGGAUAGACCAACAGUUGGUCUCAGAUGGGUUGUGGGGGCGUGCACGUAUCGGUCAGCUCCAGCACGUUGCUACGAGCACUUUACAAAUGAGUUCGACUUAUUAACAGAUGACCAGGUUGUUUGGAGCCCAUAUAGGGACGACCGCGUGAAGACACUACAUCUUGCACCUAUAUGUACCCAGGAUUCUCAUUUGUGGCUAACUCAAGCACCUCUAGUUUUUUUCUUUAUGGUGGAGGUUUACACACCGGAGAGAGUGAUGCGUCAAUUUGGUCUCCAUCAGGAAUGCCCGCCACCAUUUCGGGACACCAGCGUGGAACUCCAUUGGUGUUGCCGUGGAAAGGUCCGUAGUGAUUGGGCAGAUAAGCACAAGUCUUUUGUGGAUAUGUGGGAAGUAAAGGAGCAGCAUGUUGUCAUGGAAGAACGACCAUACGAUCAUGCCAACUACAUGGAUUAUUUGCGGUGGUACAGACGGUCGACACGUAUCCGCCUCUGCACACCAAGAAUAAGUAAUGGCCACCAGGAUGGGGCAUCCGUGCGAACUGCAACAGCUGACAAUGAAGAUUCUUUGCGUGCUUCAAAGCUUCGGUACACCCCCAGAGCUCAUCUGAUCCACUCAGUGACCGACAAACUCACUAUUCUGGCGAAGGAGGCAGCUUCACAAAAGGGCUGCUCCAGAGGCGAAUGUAGCGCUUUCAUUGAGCGAGUCACUAGAACGUGUGUAGAACUUGUUGGGGAACUUGGCGGGUCAUCACUUUGCGACAUUGCUGCUGCGGUUCCAGAUUCAACAACUAUUGCAGCUGAACAGGGGUCCGAGGGCCAGAGGGACACAGAGGAUGAGUUAAAUAACUCCAUGGUGCCUGAUCAGGAGAAUGAGUCGGGCCCUGUUCGUGAGAAGCGGACUCGAUUCCAGGUUGAUCAUACACAAGUGAACAGCAGGGUCCAUUCAAGGUCACCAAGCAAGAGGAGGAGGGGUGGACCAGCUCCAAGAUGA